GAUGAAGAACGUAGCGAAAUGCGAUAAGUAAUGUGAAUUGCAGAAUUCAGUGAAUCAUCGAAUCUUUGAACGCACAUUGCGCCCCUUGGUAUUCCGAGGGGCAUGCCUGUUCGAGCGUCAUAUUAACCACUCCCGCUUGCGGGGUCUUGGGCUUCGCCUCCGGGCGGGCCUUAAAAUCAGUGGCGGUGCCGUCGGGCUCUACGCGUAGUAAAUUUUCUCGCGAUAGGGUCCCGGUGGAUGCUUGCCAACAACCCCCAACUUCUUCGGGUUGACCUCGGAUCAGGUAGGGAUACCCGCUGAACUUAAGCAUAUCAAUAAGCGGAGGA
This 326-nucleotide unclassified non-coding RNA is filed under the name soil metagenome. RNAcentral describes it as "partial contains 5.8S ribosomal RNA, internal transcribed spacer 2, and large subunit ribosomal RNA". The stretch from base 1 to 120 matches the Rfam family "5.8S ribosomal RNA", at positions 35 to 154 of the family's 154-position model. The record is from RNAcentral.